UGGCUCAGAACGAACGCUGGCGGCGCGUCUUAAGCAUGCAAGUCGAACGGCAAGAGGUAGCAAUACCUCCUAGAGUGGCGGACUGGUGAGUAACACGUGGGUGACAUACCCUUCAGAUGGGGAUAGCUAUUAGAAAUAGUAGAUAAUACCGAAUACGAGCACAGGGGUUAGAGAUCUGUGAGGAAAGGAGCUAAGGCUCCGCUGAAGGAAUGGCCUGCGGCCCAUUAGCUAGUGGUGAGGUAAGAGCCCACCAAGGCGAUGAUGGGUAUCCGGCCUUAGAGGGUGAACGGACACAUUGGGACUGAGAUACGGCCCAGACUCCUACGGGAGGCAGCAGCUAAGAAUAUUCCGCAAUGGACGAAAGUCUGACGGAGCGACGCCGCGUGGAUGAAGAAGGCCGGAAGGUUGUAAAAUCCUUUUGAAACUGAAGAAUAAGCGUUGUAGGGAAUGACAGCGUGGUGACAGUAGGUUUUGAAUAAGCAACGGCUAAUUACGUGCCAGCCGCAGC
RNAcentral lists this ribosomal RNA (508 nucleotides) under uncultured bacterium. Its description in RNAcentral is "bacterial SSU rRNA". It matches the Rfam family "Bacterial small subunit ribosomal RNA", at positions 20 to 518 of the family's 1533-position model. The record is from RNAcentral.